AGAGUUUGAUCCUGGCUCAGAUUGAACGCUGGCGGCAGGCCUAACACAUGCAAGUCGAACGGUAACAGGAAACAGCUUGCUGUUUCGCUGACGAGUGGCGGACGGGUGAGUAAUGUCUGGGAAACUGCCUGAUGGAGGGGGAUAACUACUGGAAACGGUAGCUAAUACCGCAUAACGUCGCAAGACCAAAGAGGGGGACCUUCGGGCCUCUUGCCAUCGGAUGUGCCCAGAUGGGAUUAGCUUGUUGGUGGGGUAACGGCUCACCAAGGCGACGAUCCCUAGCUGGUCUGAGAGGAUGACCAGCCACACUGGAACUGAGACACGGUCCAAACUCCUACGGGAGGCAGCAGUGGGGAAUAUUGCACAAUGGGGGAAACCCUGAUGCAGCAACGCCGCGUGAGUGAUGACGGCCUUCGGGUUGUAAAGCUCUGUCUUUGGGGACGAUAAUGACGGUAUCCAACCAGAAAGCCACGGCUAACUACGUGCCAGCAGCCGCGGUAAUACGUAGGUGGCAAGCGUUGUCCGGAUUUACUGGGCGUAAAGGGAGCGUAGGUGGAUAUUUAAGUGGGAUGUGAAAUACCCGGGCUUAACCUGGGUGCUGCAUUCCAAACUGGAUAUCUAGAGUGCAGGAGAGGAAAGUGGAAUUCCUAGUGUAGCGGUGAAAUGCGUAGAGAUUAGGAAGAACACCAGUGGCGAAGGCGAUUCUCUGGACUGUAACUGACGCUGAGGCUCGAAAGCGUGGGGAGCAAACAGGAUUAGAUACCCUGGUAGUCCAUGCCGUAAACGAUGAAUGCUAGGUGUUGGAGGGUUUCCGCCCUUCAGUGCCGCAGCUAACGCAUUAAGCAUUCCGCCUGGGGAGUACGACCGCAAGGUUGAAACUCAAAGGAAUUGACGGGGGCCCGCACAAGCGGUGGAGCAUGUGGUUUAAUUCGAUGCAACGCGAAGAACCUUACCUGGUCUUGACAUCCACGGAAGUUUUCAGAGAUGAGAAUGUGCCUUCGGGAACCGUGAGACAGGUGCUGCAUGGCUGUCGUCAGCUCGUGCUGUGAAAUGUUGGGUUAAGUCCCGCAACGAGCGCAACCCUUAUCCUUUGUCGCCAGCGGUCCGGCCGGGAACUCAAAGGAGACUGCCAGUGAUAAACUGGAGGAAGGUGGGGAUGACGUCAAGUCAUCAUGGCCCUUACGACCAGGGCUACACACGUGCUACAAUGGCGCAUACAAAGAGAAGCGACCUCGCGAGAGCAAGCGGACCUCAUAAAGUGCGUCGUAGUCCGGAUUGGAGUCUGCAACUCGACUCCAUGAAGUCGGAAUCGCUAGUAAUCGUGGAUCAGAAUGCCACGGUGAAUACGAUCCCGGGCCUUGCACACACCGCCCGUCA
This 1377-nucleotide ribosomal RNA is filed under the name human gut metagenome. Its description in RNAcentral is "bacterial SSU rRNA". It matches the Rfam family "Bacterial small subunit ribosomal RNA". The record is from RNAcentral.